UUCACUCCACUCGAGGAUCUUUCUGCCCU
Molecule: small RNA, 29 nt
Filed under: Bombyx mori (domestic silkworm)
Lineage: Eukaryota; Metazoa; Arthropoda; Insecta; Lepidoptera; Bombycidae
Description: ovarian small RNA-37010
Source: RNAcentral